This 709-nucleotide long non-coding RNA is filed under the name Nicotiana tabacum (common tobacco). RNAcentral's name for it is "long non-coding RNA (NTAB_LNC006932)". Lineage: Eukaryota; Viridiplantae; Streptophyta; Magnoliopsida; Solanales; Solanaceae. The record is from RNAcentral.
CCUGCAUUUUUAUUCAAAUAAAUAAAAAAAAAUCAAAUCAAAAUCAUGUUAGCAUAGGGCCUCCAAUCUCUAGUUCCAUCUUUCCAACAUAAGGCCGCAUUCCCUAGUUAUCCCCGUCAUAACCCAAGGACCUUUUUUCCUUUUAUCCCGGCAUAACCCGUGGACCUCCCCGGCAUAACCCGAGGACCUUUUUCUUUUCUCCCGGCAUAACCCGUGGACCUCCCCGACAUAACCCGAGGACCUUUUUCUUUUCUCCUGGCAUAACCCGUGGACCUCCUCGGCAUAACCCGAGGACCUUUUCUUUUCUCUCGGCAUAACCCGUGGACCUCCCUGGCAUAACUCAAGGACCUUUUUCCUUUAUCCCGGCAUAACUCGUGGACUUCCUCGGCAUAACCCGAUGACCUUUUUCUUUUUUCUCCCGGCAAAACCCGUGGACCUCCACGGCAUAACCCGAGGACCCCUUUCUUUUCUCCCGGCAUAACCCGUGGACCCCCCCGGCAUAACCCGAGGACCUUUUUCUUUUCUCCCGGCAUAACCCGCGGACCUCCCUGGCAUAACCCAAGGACCUUUUUCUUUUAUCCCAGCAUAACCCAUGGACCUCCCUGGCAUAACCCGUGGACCUCCCUGGCAUAAUCCAAGGACCUUUUUCUUUCAUCUCGGCAUAACCCGUGGACCUCCCCGGCAUAAUCCGAGGACCCUUUUCUUUUCC